GUAAGCGAUGAAUACUAGGUGUGGGGGGUCUGACCCCCUCCGUGCCGGAGUUAACACAAUAAGUAUUCCACCUGGGGUGUACGGCCGCAAGGUUGAAACUCAAAGGAAUUGACGGGGGCCCGCACAAGCAGUGGAUUAUGUGGUUUAAUUCGAAGCAACGCGAAGAACCUUACCAGGGCUUGACAUCCAACUAACGAAGCAGAGAUGCAUUAGGUGCCCUUCGGGGAAAGUUGAGACAGGUGGUGCAUGGUUGUCGUCAGCUCGUGUCGUGAGAUGUUGGGUUAAGUCCCGCAACGAGCGCAACCCUUAUUGUUAGUUGCUAACAGGUUAAGCUGAGCACUCUAAUGGGACUGCCCGUGACAAGCGGGAGGAAGGUGGGGAUGACGUCAAAUCAUCAUGCCCUUUAUGAUCUGGGCUACACACGUGCUACAAUGGAUGGUACAGAGAGCAGCGAGGCCGCGAGGUGGAGCGAAUCUCAAAAAGCCAUUCUCAGUUCGGAU
This 500-nucleotide ribosomal RNA is filed under the name uncultured bacterium. Its description in RNAcentral is "partial 16S ribosomal RNA". It matches the Rfam family "Bacterial small subunit ribosomal RNA", at positions 802 to 1298 of the family's 1533-position model. The record is from RNAcentral.